GAUGAACGCUAGCGGCAGGCCUAACACAUGCAAGUCGAGGGGUAACAUAGAAAAGCUUGCUUUUCUGAUGACGACCGGCGCACGGGUGCGUAACGCGUAUACAACCUACCUUUUAGCGGGGAAUAGCCCAGGGAAACUUGGAUUAAUGCCUCAUAGUAUAUAAGCUUCUCCUGAAGUUUAUAUUUAAACAUUUAUGGCUAUUAGAUGGGUAUGCGUCCUAUUAGUUAGUUGGUAAGGUAACGGCUUACCAAGGCAGCGAUAGGUAGGGGUCCUGAGAGGGAGAUCCCCACACUGGUACUGAGACACGGACCAGACUCCUACGGGAGGCAGCAGUGAGGAAUAUUGGACAAUGGGCGAGAGCCUGAUCCAGCCAUGCCGCGUGCAGGAAGACUGCCCUAUGGGUUGUAAACUGCUUUUACAGAGGAAGAACCACCCCCACGUGUGGGGGUUUGACGGUACUCUGCGAAUAAGGAUCGGCUAACUCCGUG
Molecule: ribosomal RNA, 488 nt
Filed under: uncultured bacterium
Lineage: Bacteria
Description: bacterial SSU rRNA
Rfam family: Bacterial small subunit ribosomal RNA
Source: RNAcentral